Molecule: ribosomal RNA, 403 nt
Filed under: bacterium
Lineage: Bacteria
Description: partial 16S ribosomal RNA
Rfam family: Bacterial small subunit ribosomal RNA
Source: RNAcentral
UGGGGAAUAUUGCACAAUGGGGGAAACCCUGAUGCAGCGACGCCGCGUGAACGAAGAAGGUAUUCGUAUCGUAAAGUUCUGUCCUAUGGGAAGAUAAUGACAGUACCAUAGAAGAAAGCUCCGGCUAACUACGUGCCAGCAGCCGCGGUAAUAAGUAUGGAGCGAGCGUUUUCCGGACUUAUUGGGCGUAAAGGGUACGCAGGCGGUUUAAUAAGUGGAAUGUUAAAGAUCGGGGCUCAACCCCGCAAAGCAUUGGAAACUGAUAAACUUGAGUAGUAGAGAGGAAAGUGGAAUUCCUAGUGUAGUGGUGAAAUACGUAGAUAUUAGGAGGAAUACCAGUAGCGAAGGCGACUUUCUGGACACAAACUGACGCUGAGGUACGAAAGCGUGGGGAGCAAACAGG